UAUAGAAUGAAGAUAUUUCAGUAUUAUCAAUUUAUAUAAAUUAAAGCAUAAUUAUAUUUAAUGCUAUUAAGACGCUCUUCUAAUGCUAUCGCCUCCGUCUUACUCGACAUAAUAUGACAAGUAAUAUGACACAUAAUAAUAAUAAAUCACACAUAUAAAUAUCAAACAUGAUUCUAAAAAAUAGUCAUAAAUAGCGAAAAAACAGUGAUAAAACCGAUUGAAAAAUAAAAACAACACAGAAUGUAAAUAAAAGCCUUUCCACAAGCCACUUAUUAAGCUCUAUAAGAAACGAUCUAAGUACAACUAAAACUAAUAUCAGCUGAUUUUUUAAUGACGCUUUAAUGGCCUUUUAGGAUAAUUUAAUGAAGAAUUAAAUAUUUAAGCUAAGUAUGAAAAACAAACAAAUGAACAAAAAAAGACCUGUUAGUAUAAACUAACAGGUCUUUUACUCUAAGC
This 456-nucleotide unclassified non-coding RNA is filed under the name Moritella viscosa. Its description in RNAcentral is "putative sRNA". Lineage: Bacteria; Pseudomonadati; Pseudomonadota; Gammaproteobacteria; Alteromonadales; Moritellaceae. The record is from RNAcentral.